RNAcentral lists this long non-coding RNA (515 nucleotides) under Homo sapiens (human). RNAcentral describes it as "HSALNT0157616". Lineage: Eukaryota; Metazoa; Chordata; Mammalia; Primates; Hominidae. The record is from RNAcentral.
CUUGGUGAUGGACCGCGGUGUUCAGGCCUGAACCUUGGGGUCUGGGGGCUUCUUGGAUGAGAUCUCAAGGCUGCAUGGCAGGUCCCAGGGCCAGGGCCCCACGGUGUCACACGUAUCACGGAUGGCCGCCAGCGAAGCACAGCACAGCUCCGAGCUGCUGCAUGGGAGCCUGUGGCCCCCGCUGCUGCCUCCGCUUUCCUCUUCGUUUCGUGUCUAGGAAGAUGCACCUGAGCCCCCUGACAUUGCCCAAGUGCCCAAGGGCCCUUCUGGGAACCCCCAGAGAGGCUGAAGGAGGCCCCCGUAGGAGUGGGUGGUUCUGCACUGUGGGCCAGAAGGGGCCCUGGGAUUAGCCACGCUUGGAGAGGGUGGGGUAGCCCUUGGAGGAAGUCCGCACCAAGUCUGACCUUCCGGGUUUCUCAGAGCCUCUCUUCCUUCCUCCCUUCACCUUCUCCCUCUUUUUUUCCCCUUGUAUCACGAAUACAAACAGGCUCAAAUCUCCCUCUGUCUCCUAAUGG